UAAUAAAUAUGGUAUAUAUUACUUUAUCUACAUAAAAUCCAUAUAUAAAUAUAUUACAAUCAAUAAGGAAUUAAAAUUUUACUGAUAGUCUGUAUAAAAGUAUAAGAAAAGCAAACUAAAAUAUGUACAUUGCCCUGUAUUAUUUCUUUUUAAUUUGUUUAAUAAGCAUCACUAACAAUCAUACUGAUUAACAAAUGACCAAAAUCUGUGUACAAAAAAUUGUACAUGAACACCUUUCAUUGGGUAAAGAUAUCACAAAUCUAUUUUCCUUUUGGAUGGAGAAAGGGAUUAUCAUUAUCUUACAUAUACUAAGGUUCAAAAUCUUAAAAGGCUUCCUUUAGUCAUGAAAUUUAUGGAUAAAUUAUUUCACAAAAAAUAAUAUCAAUUUCAUUGUUUUGUUCAUCUUUAAAACAUAUUGAACACUUUUCAAGGUCAAGCAGACUUUUAAUAGUUUAUAAUGCACUAGCAUACCUAUAACUCAUAUCACAAUAUUGAAGUUUGUAAAUUCAAUUAUCUCCCCUUAUCUCCCCUCCCCUUUGUUAUAUAAGACCAGGAUUAAAUUCCUGAAUGCACAUCCUUGGGUAGUGUUCUACAACAUUGUUAAGUUUCAUCAAUAUCUGUAAAGUUAUUUAGGUGUUGGGCCUAUAAGAGACUGUUACCACAAAUUGCAAUAUUGAAUUAUGUAAUUAUGUAAUGUGUUGGACCAUUGGUAGUGUAAAUUUCUAUCAAUUUCUAGUUCCCAGAGGUGGAUUUAGGGGGGGUGUUCCCAGGGGGCCAUGCCCCCCCUUUUUGGGAAAAAAAUUGGUUGCUUAUAUAGGGAAUCACUAAAGCAUGACUGGAGUGGGUCCCCUCUUAGGCAGUCAGUGGGCCCCCACUUAUGAAAAUUUCUGGAUCUGCCACUGGUUCCUCUUUCAGGAGAAAUCACAUUUUAUGUCUUAUGGACUGAACAAGAGACAAGAUGGACAGGGUGAAUCCUUUUUACUCCCCAAAAAUUUGGUUUGUAAGAUGUAUAUAAUAAAAAAAAUAUUGGAGCUAAUUGUGAAGUUAAGAAAUAAAUUUAAAAUGUUAUUCAACCAACAGAUGUUAUUUGUUUCCUCAAAGGCCAUAUCACUUUCUAAUUAUUUAUAAGUAACAAAGUAGAAUUCUAAUUCAAUUCACAGCACACUAUAUAAAUGAUUAAUAUUCAAAUCAAUGUAAAGACAAAGAUUUAACAAUGUAAAUGACAAAGAUUUAACAAUUA
Molecule: long non-coding RNA, 1240 nt
Filed under: Mytilus galloprovincialis (Mediterranean mussel)
Lineage: Eukaryota; Metazoa; Mollusca; Bivalvia; Mytilida; Mytilidae
Source: RNAcentral